GGAGAAUUAGCUCAGUUGGUAGACCGCUACCUUUGCAUGCGAGAGGUACCGGGUUCGAUUCCUGGAUUCUCCA
Non-coding RNA from Octopus bimaculoides (California two-spot octopus), 73 nucleotides. NCBI's taxonomy places the organism in Eukaryota, Metazoa, Mollusca, Cephalopoda, Octopoda, Octopodidae. The record is from Rfam.